CCGAGAAAAUAUGACAAUCUGCUUCUGGCGUGACUGGUUGAUUGACAUAGAAGAAGGAGAAUGCAGUCCAGUCACCCUUGAGAGGGUUUUGGAAUUUUCGUCUGGAGCCUCUGUAGUCCCUCCACUGGGAUUUCCACACCCUCCUCAAAUACAGUUCAUUCAUGAAGAGAACCGAAUCUUCCCUGAAGCAAACACGUGUAUUGUUACACUAUGCCUGCCGCUGCACUCUUCUUAUGAAUGGUUUAAAAAACAUAUGAUGGAGGGAAUUUUGCAAGCGCCGACCUUUGGUCUUGCAUAAUGUUACCGUGUUUGUUUUUAAAAUUGUUCAGUGCAGGUUGUUAGAGGGCAUGCCUCUAUUGUUCCCAAUUGUUUUCUACAUUCUAGUUUUACAAGUGCUCUUUAACUUGGCACUUGUUGUUCUAAUCACAACCCUAUCACCAGAUUUGUGCCCACCCUCUGCCACUCCGCCAAUGCUGGGCCCACGACACAGGCCACAAUGCCUGUUAGUUGGGCAUCAACCACAGCUGCCAUCAAGUGCCAAGUGCACUUGCACCUUCACUUUUAAUGAUGUGGUACUCUGUUAAUGUUAUGUCCAAUUUCAUGCACUUUUAAAUAUUUUCUAUGUCCAAAUCUUACAAGUGCUCCUUGCCUCUGUGGCACUUGUUGUUCUCUUUACUGUGGUCAUCCCCACUUGCUGCACUCUCAAUAAAGUGGUCAGUGCUACAAUGA
Long non-coding RNA from Limanda limanda (common dab), 729 nucleotides. RefSeq lists it as uncharacterized. Lineage: Eukaryota; Metazoa; Chordata; Actinopteri; Pleuronectiformes; Pleuronectidae. The transcript is spliced from 2 exons. The record is from RefSeq and is a predicted model, not a curated record.